UGGGAAUGUAGCUCAGUGGUAAAGCACUUGCCUAGCAUGUGUGAGGCCCUGAGUUCCAUCCUCAACACACAA
RNAcentral lists this transfer RNA (72 nucleotides) under Marmota monax (woodchuck). Its description in RNAcentral is "tRNA.Ala". The record is from RNAcentral. Lineage: Eukaryota; Metazoa; Chordata; Mammalia; Rodentia; Sciuridae.